Small nuclear RNA from Terrapene triunguis (Three-toed box turtle), 108 nucleotides. The record is from Ensembl. Lineage: Eukaryota; Metazoa; Chordata; Testudines; Emydidae.
AAACUUAGCAAUGUGAGUGUAUACUAAAAAAUUGGAACGAUACAGAGAAGAAUAGCAUGGCCCCUGCGCAAGGAUGACACGCAAAUUCGUGAGUGUAUAAAGUCAACU